This 286-nucleotide ribosomal RNA is filed under the name uncultured bacterium. RNAcentral's name for it is "partial 16S ribosomal RNA". It matches the Rfam family "Bacterial small subunit ribosomal RNA", at positions 333 to 611 of the family's 1533-position model. The record is from RNAcentral.
UGCGGCCUACGGGAGGCAGCAGUGGGGAAUACUGCGCAAUGGGCGAAAGCCUGACGCAGCGACGCCGCGUGAGGGAUGAAGGUCUUCGGAUCGUAAACCUCUGUCAGCAGGGAAGAAAGGUCACUGUGAUAAUCAGCAGUGAAUUGACGGUACCUGCAAAGGAAGCACCGGCUAACUCCGUGCCAGCAGCCGCGGUAAUACGGAGGGUGCGAGCGUUAAUGGGAAUUACUGGGCGUAAAGCGCUCGUAGGCGGUAUGUCAAGUCAAGGGUGAAAUCCCGGCGCUCA